CACACUGGGACUGAGACACGGCCCAGACUCCUACGGGAGGCAGCAGUGGGGAAUUUUGGACAAUGGGCGAAAGCCUGAUCCAGCAAUGCCGCGUGUGUGAAGAAGGCCUUCGGGUUGUAAAGCACUUUUGUCCGGAAAGAAAUGGCUCUGGUUAAUACCUGGGGUCGAUGACGGUAUCGGAAGAAUAAGGACCGGCUAACUACGUGCCAGCAGCCGCCGUAACAC
This 225-nucleotide ribosomal RNA is filed under the name uncultured bacterium. Its description in RNAcentral is "partial 16S ribosomal RNA". It matches the Rfam family "Bacterial small subunit ribosomal RNA", at positions 309 to 526 of the family's 1533-position model. The record is from RNAcentral.